UGAACCCCAGGGAGUUGGAAGCCUCAGGGGAUGGGGCAACCUCUCAUUCACAUUCUUGACUCUCCUAGGACACAGGAGGUGUUCCGGAAAUAGGGAUGGAAUCGGAUUGACUGUUUCUUUCCAAGUCGAGGCAGGAGGCUGGAAGAGGUAGGAGGUAGCUUGGAAAAAUCCUGGAGCAGCCUUUCCGGCAGGGUUGGUUGCCUUGGCUGCUCUGCUCCCGAGCACUCUGCAGGGGGCCGAUGGCUCCCGGUGUGUCCGGUGCCAGGGGUGGGGAUCCUCUCCUCUGCCAGCCGCAGCUCUGAAGGUGUGGGUGAGAGACUUCGCUGCCUGCUUCUUAUUCUCCCUGUGCUGAGGAGAGAAGCAGCAUCAUCUACAGCAGUGUCUCUGCAUUCCUACCUCCUUGAUGCUAAGCAGAGGCAACUUGGGAGACCUUGACUUUGGGCCCAUCGCUGCGCAUGCUCUUGAGCCACAGAGCCCGAGAUGGCAGAGGAAAAUCCCACCGCUGGCCAUGCUGACGCUGUCUCUCCAGCUGGCCAGCCCACGGCCCUGGACAACUUCGGAACCUAGGUGGCUCUUAGGGCUGCUUCCCCACGGCUCCUCUGAUGUUCACCCUCUCCCUGGCCCUGUACACGCCCUCCCACCCUCCUCCGUGGGUGGUUUGCCGCUGACUCCACAGAUGCUAUCUGCUCCCUUCCCUCCUCCCACAGAGGAACCUGCAACAGGCACUAUCUCCUCUCCCAGCUCAGGGCCAGGGGGCUCCACUUCUAUCCCUGAAGAUCCCUCCAGUCUUUUAUCUUUCCAUGGGCUCUGACCUUCAUCCCUCCCCAACUACCAAGCAACUCGAGCAUUUGAUACAGCUUUUUAAAAAUACAAGAGCCAAACAUAAUCCAGGUGCAACUCAAUAGACCUCUCCCACACGGCACCUGCUGUGGCCCUCCAGGACAGUCCUCUGUCUCCUCUGCCCCAUCGCUGAGCUCCUAGAGAGACUGGUCUGCACCCUUGCAGUCUUCUUGGAUGAUGCCUCUGCCUUCAGGGCCUCCACGAUGUUGUCCACUCAGCCUUUGGGAAGGCCAUCAGGGACCUCCACAGGGCCGAAUCCAAGGCUCUAAGCUGUGGCCUCUGUGGAGACCCAGUCACACUACUGAUAUAUUCUCUGCCCUCUCUCUUCCCAAUCUUCUUUGGUUCCUCUCUCCCCUCUGGCCUCUCUGCUUUUUUCUAGACUUUUCUAAGUCUCCCUGAUCUCAUGCUUCUUCCUCAUCCUCAUCUCCUCAUUCCAGCCCCAACCCUGUUCAGGACCUGAGAACUCAAGCCCUGUCUGCCAUAGCCUCCGCUCUGACCUGGAAGUUAUGGGGACCUUAGUGGGACUCCCCCAAUAACCAGGUGACCACACCUCCUUCCAAAUGUGCUCUCCUGGCUGUACUUCUGGCCUCAGUCACUGGCUGGGUGGUCCCUGAGGAGGGGAAGGCCUUCCUUCUUUCCCUCAGUUGUAGCUGAUCUAUUAAUUAAUCUUGGAAAACAAAACAACAACAACAAGAAAGGGCGGGGGAGGGAUGUGAAAGAUUGAUUCUGGCAUCACACAAGCUGCUGUGCUGGGAUGGGCACCCCUGGAUUCCUCCCUGGGGAUCCUGUCUCCAUGAGCCCCCUUUUCAUCCUUCCCUGCUAUGCUGCCAGGAUCCCUGUCUUCCCCAUGCCUCUGUUUCCCAUCCACGAUCUGGAGACAGUGGUGGCAUCUACUUCAUAGGAUGCUGGGUUGAUUGUAUGUGAACACGUGCAGACUGCAGAGAGCCAGGGCUCAGUGAUGCUGCCUCUCCCCGCCCUGCUCCUCUCCCCUAGGGACGGCACUGCCCAGGACUCACUGCUACUUCACCUCCAGUCCACCUGCAGGACCCAGGGUGGGAGACAGAUGCCCUGGUGUGCAGUGAGAUAAGAGCAGGAGGCGAGCGCUGUAGCGAAGAGGCAGGGUCGUGUCACAUUUUUCACCCAUCUGAACAGAACAACUGGAGCUUUGCACCUCAUGCUUAUUAGGAUGGCUAUUCUAAAAAUAUCUGGAAUAAUUACUUUGGUGAGGAUGUGGAGCUGCUGUGCACUGUGGGCAGACAGAUGAAACUGUGCAGCCACGGUGGCAAUGGGACAAUGGCUCCUCAGAUUAUUAAAGUGGAGCUGCCAGAUGACCGAGUGAGUCCACUUCUGUGUGUAUGCGUCCAAAAGAAUGGAAAGCAGAAACUUGAAGAGGAGAUAUAGACGCCUGUAUUCUCAGAAGCACUUUCCCCAGUACUCAAGAGGUAGAGCAGAUAGAUGGACAAAUAAAAUGCAGACUAUUCUUCAGCUUAACAAAAGGAAGGGGUUUCCAACACAAGCUACAGUAGGAUGGUCAAGUGAUGGGGACCUUAUGCCGGGUGAAACAGGCCCAACAUAAAGGGACAAAUACUGUGUAAUCCCAGUGUCGGAGCUACUCUAAAUGACCAAAUUCAUAGAGACAGAAAGCAGAAUGGUGGUUGCCGGGCUGUUCUAGUGGGCAGCUUCGGUUUUGUCAAAUAAAAAUGUUCUGAGGAUUGGUUCCACCAUCUUAGAAGUGGAAUGUACACUCAAAAAUGGUGAGAAUGGAAAAUUUUAUAUUCUUUUACCCAAUUAAAAUAAUGUUUUUGACAUGUA
Long non-coding RNA from Cavia porcellus (domestic guinea pig), 2652 nucleotides. RefSeq lists it as uncharacterized. The transcript has 2 exons. The record is from RefSeq and is a predicted model, not a curated record. Lineage: Eukaryota; Metazoa; Chordata; Mammalia; Rodentia; Caviidae.